RNAcentral lists this transfer RNA (77 nucleotides) under Thermoprotei archaeon. RNAcentral's name for it is "tRNA-Thr". It matches the Rfam family "tRNA". From Rfam's summary of the family: Transfer RNA (tRNA) molecules are approximately 80 nucleotides in length. Lineage: Archaea; Thermoproteati; Thermoproteota; Thermoprotei. The record is from RNAcentral.
GCCCCGGUAGCUCAGCUAGGUAGAGCGCGGGCCUCGUAAGCCCGUGGUCCCGGGUUCAAAUCCCGGCCGGGGCUCCA